This 239-nucleotide ribosomal RNA is filed under the name uncultured bacterium. RNAcentral describes it as "partial 16S ribosomal RNA". It matches the Rfam family "Bacterial small subunit ribosomal RNA", at positions 333 to 564 of the family's 1533-position model. The record is from RNAcentral.
GGUCACCUACGGGACGCAGCAGUAGGGAAUCUUCCACAAUGGACGAACGUCUGAUGGAGCAACGCCGCGUGAGUGAAGAAGGGUUUCGGCUCGUAAAGCUCUGUUGGUAGUGAAGAAAGAUAGAGGUAGUAACUGGCCUUUAUUUGACGGUAAUUACUUAGAAAGUCACGGCUAACUACGUGCCAGCAGCCGCGGGAAUACGGAGGUGGCAAGCGUUGGCCGGGUUUAUUGGGCGUAAA